Non-coding RNA from Camellia sinensis, 2528 nucleotides. The record is from RefSeq and is a predicted model, not a curated record. NCBI's taxonomy places the organism in Eukaryota, Viridiplantae, Streptophyta, Magnoliopsida, Ericales, Theaceae.
CAAUCAAAUGCCUCAAUCCCUCUCAAAAUAAACACCACUUCUCAGUCAACAAAAUUCAUGGCGAUGAGCUAGUUUUUUCUCGCAUCCAAACAGAGCACUGAAAUCUGCGUCCCAGAAGAAUACCUUGGAGUUCCGUAUCGCCAACCAUGGCGACACGUUUGCUGUUUCACAAUCUCAGACGCAUCAACACUUCACACACCGCAAGCUGGUGGAUGCACAUCUCGUAUCGCGCCUCGCCGAUUGAUUUCGCCGGUGAAUCUGCUCCGUCGAGCGAAAAGGGCCACCGCAACGACGACCUCAAGAAUAGGGUUUUAGGGCUUGUAUUCCCACGACGGAGCGCAACGAUUGUGCUUCAGAAUUGGGUCGAUGAAGGCCACAAGGUUUCGAUUUUCGAGCUUCGUCGCAUCUCCACACAACUCAUGAAAUUCCAGCGUUAUAAGCACGCUCUCGAGAUCUUUACAUGGAUGGAAGCUCGGAAUGGCUAUCGCAUUUCACCUGCUGAUCAUGCAAUCAGGUUGGAAUUGAUUAUCAAAGUCCAUGAUUUAAGGGAAGGUGAAGAAUAUUUUGCAAGUUUACCUAACACCGCUUCACAGAAAGCAGCCAGCCUAACUCUUCUUCAUUCUUAUGUUAAAGAAAGGGCCACUGAGAAAGCUGAGGCUCUCAUGGUAAAAAUGAAUAGCUUGGGGCUGACUGUGAGUCCUCAUCCAUUUAAUGAGAUGAUGAAGCUUUAUAUGGCCACAUCUCAUUUUGUGAAAGUGCCAUCUGUAAUCCUUCAAAUGAAGCAAAACAAUAUACCCCGAAAUGUCCUCUCCUACAACCUUUGGAUGGGUGCGUGUGGUGAGGUAUCUGGGGUUGCAUCAGCUGAGAUGGUUUACAAAGAAAUGGUGAACGACAAGGAUGUGCAAGUAGGAUGGAGCACUCUAGCUACUUUGGCCAAUAUCUAUCUAAAAUCCGGAUUUCAUGACAAAGCCACUUUGGCCCUUCAAUAUGCAGAAAAAAAGCUAUCCACUACUAACCGCCUUGGUUAUUUCUUCCUUAUUACACUCUAUGCCUCUUUAAACAAUAAAGAUGGUGUUCUUCGGCUUUGGGAGGCCUGUAAAGCAGUGAAAGGGAGAGUUACUUGUUCCAAUUAUAUGUGUAUCUUGUUAUGUUUGGUAAAGCUUGGUGAUAUAGAAAAAGCUGAGAAGAUUUUCAAGGAAUAUGAAUCAGGGUGUAGAAAAUAUGACAUUAGAGUUUCCAAUGUGCUUCUAGGUGCAUACAUGAGGAAUGGAUUAAUGGAGAAAGCUGAGUCAUUGCAUCUUCGCACAUUGGAGAGAGGUGGAUGUCCGAAUUACAAGACAUGGGAGAUACUCAUGGAAGGAUGGGUGACAAGCCAGGACAUGGAUAAAGCUGUAAAUGCCAUGAAAAAAGGCUUCGCUAUGUUGAAACAUUGUGACUGGAGGCCAUCACCUGCCAUUGUGGUGGCCAUUGCAGAGUUCUUUGAGAAGAGUGGAAAUUUUGAAGAUGCAAAGUGGUAUCUCAAGGUUUUUAGGCGAUUGGGCCUUGCCAGUUUGCCAGUUUAUAAAUCAUUGCUUAGAGUGCAUGCAUCCGCUCAACAGCCAGCUCAAGAAAUUUUUGAAAUGAUGAAGAAAGAUGAAAUUGAUAUCGACGAUGAGGCUUCAGCACUUCAAGUUUUGAAGGCAUAAGCAACAACAAUGCUAUGGGGUCAGUGUUGGUGGCUUCUAAGGACAUUUGAGACUUCAGUUUGCCUUGUUCUUGGUGUGGAAGGGUAGUGGCUAGUAAAACUACGGAUAAUGAGUACUAUGUAGAAAGCAUGCUUGUUUCAAGUAGUAAGUAUUUGUUUUGACAAGAGCAACCUACCCUGAUUGUUGAUCAUGCAGAUGAGAUGAUGACAAAUGGAUUUCGCUUAGAUCCGUUGCUUCCUUGCAUAUAUGACGAGCAGCAAAUACGAUUUUCUGGCACUCAAAAGAAUGCACAUUCAUAGCUGUAGUGUUGAAGCAGCUAUUAACACCUUCAUCAUUUAUCUCAAGGUUUAUCUCCACAAUUGCUUCAAUGAUCCAAGCCCAGUAUCCAACGGACCAGCCGUAAUGUGCACAAAAACUAAAAUUUCACUUUCAACGGAUUUGCUACCUCAAACGCCACACUUUACAGAAUCUUCAGAUUCUUUUGGUGCUUUGUCCUUAUCUUCUCCUACCCGUGGUGUGUAGCCAUAGAUCACUGGCAUAACUGGAGAAGAUCACAGGCACGGGCUGAGUAGGAAGCGAGGAUUGCUUCAAGACUCGGAUAAAUGGUGACAGGAGAUGAUUUUGGGGCUCCAGAUUGUCUCAUACAUGUAAUUUCUCUACUGUUUAAAGUAGAUUUAUCUUGUGCUCGUGGACAUAAGAAGAUUUGUGUGAAACCACAUAAAUUUUGUAUUCUCUUUGGAUUGGGGGUGUGACAGUGAAUUUUUCUCGAGCACAAUCACAUAAAAUUUCUGUACUGUUUUUCUUAUUGGAUUGUGCGUGUUAUUGUGGAUAAGCUUCUGUCCA